Molecule: long non-coding RNA, 313 nt
Organism: Crotalus tigris (Tiger rattlesnake)
Lineage: Eukaryota; Metazoa; Chordata; Lepidosauria; Squamata; Viperidae
Exons: 2
Source: RefSeq, a predicted model, not a curated record
AUGAAGUGUUGAACAUGGGGUCUAAUAACGAAUCUGAUGAGAUAUACUCUGGCAGUGGAGGCCUGAAGAUUGAGAUAUCACCUGUGAAAAUAAUCACGAUGUCUCUUCAAGGUAAUGCAUCAGUGAAGGCAACUAUCUUGGGACAAAUCCUAACUACAGCAACUGGAAUUCUGCUUUUUUUCCUGUUUAGCAGCAUUGCUUAAAUAUACAUGUCAAAUUCCAGCAAUUGGAAUUCUAUUUUCUUUUCCUGUUUAGCAGUAUUGUUUAAAUAUACAUGCCAAAUUACACAUAAAAAUAAAGCAUAUUAAAGGCA